AAUGAACGUUGGCGGCGUGGAUUAGGCAUGCAAGUCGAGCGAGAAGCCCCCUUCGGGGGGUGGACAGCGGCGCAAGGGAGAGUAAUGCGUGGAUACCUACCCCCGAGACCGGGAUAGCUGUGGGAAACUGCAGGUAAUACCGGAUAACGUCUCCGGACCAAAUGGUGUGAUUCCGCUUGGGGAUGGGUCCGCGUCCUAUUAGCUUGUUGGUGGGGUAAUGGCCUACCAAGGCGACGAUGGGUACCGGGUGUGAGAGCAUGACCCGGCUCACUGGGACUGAGACACUGCCCAGACACCUACGGGUGGCUGCAGUCGAGAAUCUUCGGCAAUGAGCGCAAGCUUGACCGAGCGACACCGCGUGCGGGAUGAAGGCCUUCGGGUUGUAAACCGCUGUCAGAGGGGAGGAAAUGCACGGGGGUUAUCCCCGGUGUUUGACCUGUCCUCAGAGGAAGGACGGGCUAAGUUCGUACCAGCAGCCGCGGUAAGACGAACCGUCCAAACGUUAUUCGGAAUCACUGGGCUUAAAGGGUGCGUAGGCGGCCCGGCAAGUUGGGUGUGAAAUCCCUCGGCUCAACCGAGGAAUGGCGCCCAAAACUGCCGAGCUAGAGGGAGACAGAGGCGAGCGGAACUUGCGGUGGAGCGGUGAUAUGCGUUGAUAUCGCAAGGAACACCAGUAGCGAAGGCGGCUCGCUGGGUCUCUUCUGACGCUCAGGCACGAAAGCCAGGGGAGCGAACGGGAUUAGAUACCCCUGUAGUCCACGCCGUAAACGAUGAUCACUAGAGAUCAGCUGGAAUCGACCCCUUUGGUCUCGAAGCUAACGCGUUAAGUGAUCCGCCUGGGAAGUACGCUCGCAAGAGUGAAACUCAAAGGAAUUGACGGGGAUCCACACAAGCGGUGGAGCGUGUGGUUUAAUUCGACAACAAGCGAAGAACCUUACCAAGGUUUGACAUCUCUGGAAUCCGCUAGAAACAGUGGAGUGCCUUCGGGAACCAGAUGACAGGUGUUGCAUGGUUGUCGUCAGCUCGUGUUGUGAAACGUUGGGUUAAGUCCCUGAACGAGCGCAACCCUUGCCUCAUGUUAAAUUUGUCAUGAGGGACUGCCGUGGUCAACACGGAGGAAGGUGAGGAUGACGCCAAAUCAGCAUGGCCCUUAUGCCUUGGGCGACACACGCGCUACAAUGGUGCAGACAAUGGGUUUUGCCAAAUCGCAAGAUGGAGCUAAUCCCGAAACUGCACCCCAGUACGGAUUGGAGUCUGCAACUCGACUCCAUGAAGAUGGAAUCGCUAGUAACCGUAGGUCAGCCACACUACGGUGAAUAUGUUCCUGGAUCUUGUACACACCGCCCGUCAUGUCAAAGAAGCUGGUGGCACUGGAUAUCCCCUGGUUUCAGGGGAUGAAGGUGAAGCCAGUGACUGGGACA
Molecule: ribosomal RNA, 1421 nt
Filed under: uncultured bacterium
Lineage: Bacteria
Description: bacterial SSU rRNA
Rfam family: Bacterial small subunit ribosomal RNA
Source: RNAcentral